GAUGAACGCUGGCGGCGUGCAUAAUACAUGCAAGUCGAGCGAACGGACGAGAAGCUUGCUUCUCUGAUGUUAGCGGCGGACGGGUGAGUAACACGUGGAUAACCUACCUAUAAGACUGGGAUAACUUCGGGAAACCGUAGCUAAUACCGGAUAAUAUUUUGAACCGCAUGGUUCAAAAGUGAAAGACGGUCUUGCUGUCACUUAUAGAUGGAUCCGCGCUGCAUUAGCUAGUUGGUAAGGUAACGGCUUACCAAGGCAACGAUGCAUAGCCGACCUGAGAGGGUGAUCGGCCACACUGGAACUGAGACACGGUCCAGACUCCUACGGGAGGCAGCAGUAGGGAAUCUUCCGCAAUGGGCGAAAGCCUGACGGAGCAACGCCGCGUGAGUGAUGAAGGUCUUCGGAUCGUAAAACUCUGUUAUUAGGGAAGAACAUAUGUGUAAGUAACUGUGCACAUCUUGACGGUACCUAAUCAGAAAGCCACGGCUAACUACGUG
This 497-nucleotide ribosomal RNA is filed under the name uncultured bacterium. Its description in RNAcentral is "partial 16S ribosomal RNA". It matches the Rfam family "Bacterial small subunit ribosomal RNA", at positions 28 to 507 of the family's 1533-position model. The record is from RNAcentral.